CUAUACUGCAAGUCGAGCGGACAGAUGGGAGCUUGCUCCCUGAUGUUAGCGGCGGACGGGUGAGUAACACGUGGGUAACCUGCCUGUAAGACUGGGAUAACUCCGGGAAACCGGGGCUAAUACCGGAUGGUUGUUUGAACCGCAUGGUUCAGACAUAAAAGGUGGCUUCGGCUACCACUUACAGAUGGACCCGCGGCGCAUUAGCUAGUUGGUGAGGUAACGGCUCACCAAGGCAACGAUGCGUAGCCGACCUGAGAGGGUGAUCGGCCACACUGGGACUGAGACACGGCCCAGACUCCUACGGGAGGCAGCAGUAGGGAAUCUUCCGCAAUGGACGAAAGUCUGACGGAGCAACGCCGCGUGAGUGAUGAAGGUUUUCGGAUCGUAAAGCUCUGUUGUUAGGGAAGAACAAGUGCCGUUCAAAUGGGGCGGCCCCUUGACGGUACCUAACC
Molecule: ribosomal RNA, 452 nt
Filed under: Bacillus sp. (in: firmicutes)
Lineage: Bacteria; Bacillati; Bacillota; Bacilli; Caryophanales; Bacillaceae
Description: bacterial SSU rRNA
Rfam family: Bacterial small subunit ribosomal RNA
Source: RNAcentral